GGCCUGCGCGGAAGAUGUAACGGGGCUCAAACCAGGCACCGAAGCCGCGGAUUCACACUUAUGUGUGAGUGGUAGGGGAGCGUUCUGUAAGUCUGCGAAGGUGUAUCGAGAGGCAUGCUGGAGAUAUCAGAAGUGCGAAUGCUGACGUAAGUAACGAUAAAGGGGGUGAAAAGCCUCCUCGCCGGAAGACCAAGGGUUCCUGUCCAACGUUAAUCGGGGCAGGGUGAGUCGACCCCUAAGGCGAGGCCGAAAGGCGUAGUCGAUGGGAAGCAGGUUAAUAUUCCUGCACGACUUGUAAUUGCGAUGGGGGGACGGAGAAGGCUAGGUGGGCCAGGCGACGGUUGUCCUGGUGAAAGUGCGUAGGUGGUGUUUCUAGGCAAAUCCGGAGACACAACACUGAGACACGAGACGAACGCACCACGGUGCGGAAGCCAUUGAUGCCCUGCUUCCAGGAAAAGCCUCUAAGCUUCAGAUUACAAGUCAUCGUACCCCAAACCGACACAGGUGGUCGGGUAGAGAAUACCAAGGCGCUUGAGAGAACUCGGGUGAAGGAACUAGGCAAAAUAGAACCGUAACUUCGGGAGAAGGUUCGCUCUUGAUGGUGAAGUCCCUUGCGGAUGGAGCUGUCGGGAGUCGCAGUGACCAGAUGGCUGGGACUGUUUAUCAAAAACACAGCACUCUGCAAACACGAAAGUGGACGUAUAGGGUGUGACACCUGCCCGGUGCCGGAAGGUUAAUUGAUGGGGUUAGCGCAAGCGAAGCUCUUGAUCGAAGCCCCGGUAAACGGCGGCCGUAACUAUAACGGUCCUAAGGUAGCGAAAUUCCUUGUCGGGUAAGUUCCGACCUGCACGAAUGGUGUAACCAUGGCCAUGCUGUCUCCACCCGAGACUCAGUGAAAUCGAAUUCGCCGUGAAGAUGCGGUGUACCCGCGGCUAGACGGAAAGACCCCGUGAACCUUUACUACAGCUUGGCACUGAACAUUGAACCUACAUGUGUAGGAUAGGUGGGAGGCUUUGAAGGCGUGACGCCAGUUGCGCUGGAGCCGUCCUUGAAAUACCACCCUUGUAUGUUUGAUGUUCUAACGCAGGGCCCUGAAUCGGGCUCGCGGACAGUGCCUGGUGGGUAGUUUGACUGGGGCGGUCUCCUCCCAAAGAGUAACGGAGGAGCACG
This 1170-nucleotide ribosomal RNA is filed under the name wastewater metagenome. RNAcentral's name for it is "bacterial LSU rRNA". It matches the Rfam family "Bacterial large subunit ribosomal RNA", at positions 1156 to 2312 of the family's 2925-position model. The record is from RNAcentral.